GGUAUCUCAGACUGCCAACCUGCUGUGGAUAUCCCUCUAUAUAAAUAAAACACUGAUGGCCAGUGACCAGGCAGGAAGUAUAGGCAGGACAAGGAGAGAGGAGAAUUGGGGAAACAGGAAGAAGGAGGGAGAGACACUGCAGCCACCGCCAGGACA
Molecule: non-coding RNA, 156 nt
Organism: Peromyscus maniculatus bairdii (prairie deer mouse)
Lineage: Eukaryota; Metazoa; Chordata; Mammalia; Rodentia; Cricetidae
Source: RefSeq, a predicted model, not a curated record